CUCCAGCCGGCGCUGGUGUUUGGUCGCUCCUCUGCGAGAGCUGGAGAAACCCUGGAGCUGAAAUGUAGAAUCGAAACCAAAGUCAAAGCGGGUCCUCAGAUGCACCUGUACCUGUGUAAAGAUGGAGCCCUGCUGCAGAUGGAGCGGCUCAGAAACGCAGUCGAUCACACUUUUAUUCUGAGGAACAUUUCAGACCUGGACUCCGGUAAUUACAGCUGUGUUUUCUCCUUCCACAAACUCCGCCCGAAGAGCCUGAACACCACCGGCCUCAACUCCAUCCACAUCAGCGUCUACGGUCAUUCCUCUGAUGUUCUGCCAGCAGAAAUAUAUGGAAGCUCGGAAGUGAAAGCAGGACAAGAUUUAGAGUUAAAGUGUAAAAUCCCCACUGAAUCCGGAUCCUUCUACAUGUACCUGUGUAAAGACAGUGUCCUGCUGAAGAUGAGAUUACUGGAAGAUAAAAAAGAGGAGACUUUUAUUUUGAGAAAUAUCUCAGAACACGACUACGGGAGCUACAGCUGUGUGUACUCCAAUAAAAAAUACGCUCUGAAGGACUUCACUGGAACAGAACAGAGUGCAAUGAAGUUUCAUUUCUAUGGUAAGAGAUUAUAUUACUGCAUAUAAUAUUCAUUUUUAUUUUUAUUGUA
RNAcentral lists this long non-coding RNA (644 nucleotides) under Astyanax mexicanus (Mexican tetra). Its description in RNAcentral is "lncRNA (ENSAMXG00005006946.1)". Lineage: Eukaryota; Metazoa; Chordata; Actinopteri; Characiformes; Acestrorhamphidae. The record is from RNAcentral.